This 454-nucleotide ribosomal RNA is filed under the name uncultured Porphyromonadaceae bacterium. RNAcentral's name for it is "partial 16S ribosomal RNA". It matches the Rfam family "Bacterial small subunit ribosomal RNA", at positions 341 to 792 of the family's 1533-position model. Lineage: Bacteria; Pseudomonadati; Bacteroidota; Bacteroidia; Bacteroidales; Porphyromonadaceae. The record is from RNAcentral.
ACGGGAGGCAGCAGUGAGGAAUAUUGGUCAAUGGGCGGAAGCCUGAACCAGCCAUGUCGCGUGCAGGACUACGGCCCUACGGGUCUUAAACUGCUUUUGCAAGGGGAUAAAGUGGGGCACGCGUGCCCCUUUGCAGGUACCUUGCGAAUAAGGAUCGGCUAACUCCGUGCCAGCAGCCGCGGUAAUACGGAGGAUCCGAGCGUUAUCCGGAUUUAUUGGGUUUAAAGGGUGCGUAGGCGGGCUGUUAAGUCAGCGGUGAAACCCCCGGGCUCAACCCGGGGACUGCCAUUGAAACUGGCGGCCUUGAGUACGUUGGGAGUGCGCGGAAUGUGUGGUGUAGCGGUGAAAUGCAUAGAUAUCACACAGAACACCGAUUGCGAAGGCAUCUCACGAAUCCGUUAUUGACGCUGAGGCACGAAAGCGUGGGGAUCAAACAGGAUUAGAUACCCUGGUA